RNAcentral lists this unclassified non-coding RNA (293 nucleotides) under uncultured fungus. RNAcentral describes it as "partial contains small subunit ribosomal RNA, internal transcribed spacer 1, and 5.8S ribosomal RNA". The stretch from base 245 to 293 matches the Rfam family "5.8S ribosomal RNA", at positions 1 to 49 of the family's 154-position model. The record is from RNAcentral. Lineage: Eukaryota; Fungi.
ACAAACUUGGUCAUUUAGAGGAAGUGCCGUAGGUGAACCUGCGGAAGGAUCAUCACUGAUUCGGGGGCAGCCGGGGUGUGGGAAACCACACGCCUGUGUCCCCAACCAAUCUUGUGUGAACCGUAACGAGCACCACGUGUGAAGAGAGGUUGGCGGUACGGGGGGAGACCCACCGCCGCCACCAUCACACGAGUAUUAUCUCCUUACAAUCUUGUCUAACAUUCUCACUAAAUUACACACACACAACUUUUAACAAUGGAUCUCUUGGCUCUCGCAUCGAUGAAGAACGCAGC